GAUGAAGAACGUAGCGAAAUGCGAUAAGUAAUGUGAAUUGCAGAAUUCAGUGAAUCAUCGAAUCUUUGAACGCACAUUGCGCCCGCCAGUAUUCUGGCGGGCAUGCCUGUUCGAGCGUCAUUUCAACCAUCAAGCCCCAGGCUUGUGUUGGGGACCUGCGGCUGCCGCAGGCCCUGAAAACCAGUGGCGGGCUCGCUAGUCACACCGAGCGUAGUAGCAUACACAUCGCUCAGGGCGUGCUGCGGGUUCCGGCCGUUAAACCCCUUUUUUACCCAAGGUUGACCUCGCAUCAGGUAGGAAGACCCGCUGAACUUAAGCAUAUCAAUAAGCGGAGGA
RNAcentral lists this unclassified non-coding RNA (336 nucleotides) under soil metagenome. RNAcentral's name for it is "partial contains 5.8S ribosomal RNA, internal transcribed spacer 2, and large subunit ribosomal RNA". The stretch from base 1 to 120 matches the Rfam family "5.8S ribosomal RNA", at positions 35 to 154 of the family's 154-position model. The record is from RNAcentral.